CCUACGGGGUGCAGCAGUGGGGAAUAUUGCACAAUGGGCGAAAGCCUGAUGCAGCAAUGCCGCGUGAAGGAAGAAGGGUUUCGGGUUGUAAACUUCUUUUCUCAGGGACGAAGAAAGUGACGGUACCUGAGGAAUAAGCCACGGCUAACUACGUGCCAGCAGCCGCGGUAAUACGUAGGUGGCAAGCGUUAUCCGGUUUUAUUGGGUGUAAAGGGCGUGUAGGCGGGAGCGCAAGUCAGAUGUGAAAACUCAGGGCUCAACCCUGAGCCUGCAUUUGAAACUGUGUUUCUUGAGUGCUGGGGAGGCAAUCGGAAUUCCGUGUGUAGCGGUGAAAGGCGUAGAUAUACGGAGGAACACCAGUGGCGAAGGCGGAUUGCUGGACAGUAACUGACGCUGAGGCGCGAAAGCGUGGGGAGCAAACAGGAUUAGAUACCCGUGUAGUC
This 443-nucleotide ribosomal RNA is filed under the name uncultured bacterium. Its description in RNAcentral is "partial 16S ribosomal RNA". It matches the Rfam family "Bacterial small subunit ribosomal RNA", at positions 338 to 795 of the family's 1533-position model. The record is from RNAcentral.